UACGAAGGGGGCUAGCGUUGCUCGGAAUCACUGGGCGUAAAGAGCUCGUAGGCGGUCUGUCACGUCGGCUGUGAAAUCCCGAGGCUCAACCUCGGGUCUGCAGUCGAUACGGGCAAACUAGAGUAUUGUAGGGGAGACUGGAAUUCCUGGUGUAGCGGUGAAAUGCGCAGAUAUCAGGAGGAACACCGGUGGCGAAGGCGGAUCUCUGGGCAUUACCUGACGCUGAGGAGCGAAAGCGUGGGGAGCAAACAGG
This 253-nucleotide ribosomal RNA is filed under the name uncultured bacterium. Its description in RNAcentral is "partial 16S ribosomal RNA". It matches the Rfam family "Bacterial small subunit ribosomal RNA", at positions 524 to 776 of the family's 1533-position model. The record is from RNAcentral.